Molecule: ribosomal RNA, 255 nt
Filed under: Clostridioides difficile
Lineage: Bacteria; Bacillati; Bacillota; Clostridia; Peptostreptococcales; Peptostreptococcaceae
Description: partial 23S ribosomal RNA
Rfam family: Bacterial large subunit ribosomal RNA
Source: RNAcentral
CCAUACGGGUUGAAGCAUGACCGUAAGGACAUGUGGACAGUAUGGGAGUGAGAAUGUUGGCAGGAGUAGCGAGAUGUGGGUGAGAAUCCCACAGGCCGUAAACCCAAGGUUUCCAGGGGAAGGUUCGGCCGCCCUGGGUUAGUCGGGACCUAAGCUGAGGCCGAAAGGCGUAGGUGAUGGACAACAGGUUGAUAUUCCUGUACUACCGAUAACCGGUUGAGAGAAGGGAUGACACAGUAGGAUAAGCUAAGCACA